Molecule: ribosomal RNA, 747 nt
Filed under: uncultured bacterium
Lineage: Bacteria
Description: bacterial SSU rRNA
Rfam family: Bacterial small subunit ribosomal RNA
Source: RNAcentral
ACGCUGGCGGCAGGCCUAACACAUGCGUGUCGAGCGGCAGCACAGGUACUUGUACCGGGUGGCGAGCGGCGGACGGGUGAGUAAUGCCUAGGAAUCUGCCUGGUAGUGGGGGAUAACGCUCGGAAACGGACGCUAAUACCGCAUACGUCCUACGGGAGAAAGCAGGGGACCUUCGGGCCUUGCGCUAUCAGAUGAGCCUAGGUCGGAUUAGCUGGUUGGUGGGGUAAUGGCUCACCAAGGCGACGAUCCGUAACUGGUCUGAGAGGAUGAUCAGUCACACUGGAACUGAGACACGGUCCAGACUCCUACGGGAAGCAGCAGUGGGGAAUAUUGGACAAUGGGCGCAAGCCUGAUCCAGCCAUGCCGCGUGUGUGAAGAAGGUCUUCGGAUUGUAAAGCACUUUAAGUUGGGAGGAAGGGCCGUUACCUAAUACGUGAUGGUUUUGACGUUACCGACAGAAUAAGCACCGGCUAACUCUGUGCCAGCAGCCGCGGUAAUACAGAGGGUGCAAGCGUUAAUCGGAAUUACUGGGCGUAAAGCGCGCGUAGGUGGUUUGUCAAGUUGAGUGUGAAAGCCCCGGGCUCAACCUGGGAACUGCAUGCAAAACUGGCAGGCUAGAGUAUGGUAGAGGGUGGUGGAAUUUCCUGUGUAGCGGUGAAAUGCGUAGAUAUAGGAAGGAACACCAGUGGCGAAGGCGACCACCUGGACUGAUACUGACACUGAGGUGCGAAAGCGUGGGGAGCAAAC